GCCGGGCCAUGCCCGGUUCGGCUGCGCUGCUGUGCGUGGUAGAUCCGUCUCGGGCGGUGCAGGCAACGCGACAUCGGGUGGAAAGUGUUGUUGAUGGGCACUUUCUUUAAGCGCAUCAACGGCGCGUCUUCCUCGGGGUCGCACCACGUGCCAGUGUCUUGGCCGUCUGUCUCUGGUGAUAGGGUGUCUGUCCCGCGCUCGUCUUCUGCCCGUGUGAUCUCUCGCCCUGCUUGGGUCUGGGUCUAGUGUUCCUUUAUGCUCUCUCUCCGGCAAGUUGCUUCCUCUAAUCGCGUCUCAUGCACUCGGUGUUGGUUUACGGCUUUAUCUUCGCGCCUCGUUAUGGAGUUCGAAAUACAGCGCUGCCUGCUCGCAGGAGUCCUGGCUGGAAGUCGGCUGGGUUCCAGGCUGCACUUCACACUUGCUGUUCUACAACUCUUCUGGUUAAGGGGUGUGCCGGAUAACCCAGCCUAAUUUCCGAGUUGAUUCCCUGCCAUGCUCGGUUCCGCUGUUCUGCCGCGUGCGGUAAGUCUAUUGAAGGCGAGGCUGGCGAAGUAACAUCGGGUGAGGAAACUGCGUUAGGGACAGCCAUUUUCAGUGGUCGGCCAGUGCACAACUUCGAAAGGUCACGCCGAGCGCCAGCUUCCUGGUCUUCAGGUUCCGCAGGAUUAAGGUCUGCCUCUGGCUCGUCUUUCGUCACUGCACCUCUCACGAAUCCCAGUCAGGUUAGGGUCGNNNNNNNNNNNNNNNNNNNNNNNNNNNNNNNNNNNNNNNNNNNNNNNNNNAGAAAUUUGACGCGGUGGGACGGUCGCAGCUGGCAUUUCUCGGGCUCAGGGUGAAACCCAGAGCCGAUGAGUAGGUUGACGACUGCACGGCACAGGUGUUGUGCUGCCGUGUGUGUCCUCGCCGCCACCGUGCAGUCGUCGAUAAAGUAAGCCAGGUCUAAGCCUCGCUCCGCAUCGGUCGAAACAGCUCCUGUUUCCGCAGGCUGUAAACCCAGCAGGCCGGGGCGAAACUGAACGCCAUUACGAGCCAGUAGUGUAAGUCGCCAACCCAUUCAAAUGCGGCAACGCGGUACAUGUCUGGGUGAUAGCAGUAGGAUCCAAUAGCCGUUUUGUCGUCUGUUGUGAAGAGGAAAUCGUCCUUUCACAGAAAGCCUGGCAAGUCCAAGACGUGCUCUCGUAUUUUAGCGGCGGGGUCUCCAUGAAGCGGUUGGGGUACAUGGGGUUCGUGUAUAGGCGCAGCUCCUUGCCUUCUACUACCUGUAGGCCGUUGACGACCGUAGGUGGUCCCCACUCUGAGGGGCACUUGCGCGUCACCCCACGUCCAAGCCAUUCUGGGUGUCUACUGUGGCAAACGCGCUAUGCAGGUUGGUGCUGCGGUGGUUGGGAAACUAGGUGACAUGCGGCAUUCUGCCGGUUAGGUACGGUUCUGGGUCCACCUCGCGGCCAGUGGCUUGGCUGAUCAUUUGGAGGACUAUACGGUGCUUCUUGCGGCGCUGUGGGCAGAACUGAGGGCCCAAGCCGGGCGUUCCCACCCAGGUGAAGCGCACCCCUUCCUCUAAGAAGGCUAGCACACAGGCGUUGGUUGUGAGUUGGUGAUCGUGCCCUGUUGUGGAGUUCAAGUAGCGGCGCCAUAGCGAGCUGCAUGCUCGCGGGGGACCUGGCUGGAAACCGGCUGGGUUCGAGCUGCGCUUCGUACCUCAAUUCGAACUUCGCUUCUGGCAUCGGCGGCGGGUCUGUGGGCCCAGCCUGUGUUGCCGUAAUAAUGCCGGGCCAUGCCCGGUUCGGCUGCGCUGCUGUGCGUGGUAGAUCCGUCUCGGGCGGUGCAGGCAACGCGACAUCGGGUGGAAAGUGUUGUUGAUGGGCACUUUCUUUAAGCGCAUCAACGGCGCGUCUUCCUCGGGGUCGCACCACGUGCCAGUGUCUUGGCCGUCUGUCUCUGGUGAUAGGGUGUCUGUCCCGCGCUCGUCUUCUGCCCGUGUGAUCUCUCGCCCUGCUUGGGUCUGGGUCUAGUGUUCCUUUAUGCUCUCUCUCCGGCAAGUUGCUUCCUCUAAUCGCGUCUCAUGCACUCGGUGUUGGUUUACGGCUUUAUCUUCGCGCCUCGUUAUGGAGUUCGAAAUACAGCGCUGCCUGCUCGCAGGAGUCCUGGCUGGAAGUCGGCUGGGUUCCAGGCUGCACUUCACACUUGCUGUUCUACAACUCUUCUGGUUAAGGGGUGUGCCGGAUAACCCAGCCUAAUUUCCGAGUUGAUUCCCUGCCAUGCUCGGUUCCGCUGUUCUGCCGCGUGCGGUAAGUCUAUUGAAGGCGAGGCUGGCGAAGUAACAUCGGGUGAGGAAACUGCGUUAGGGACAGCCAUUUUCAGUGGUCGGCCAGUGCACAACUUCGAAAGGUCACGCCGAGCGCCAGCUUCCUGGUCUUCAGGUUCCGCAGGAUUAAGGUCUGCCUCUGGCUCGUCUUUCGUCACUGCACCUCUCACGAAUCCCAGUCAGGUUAGGGUCGGCCGUCUAUGCUUCGCUUCUAUCUCUCUGUCCCGCAGGCCACUACUUCCAUCGCCAUCCGCAGGCCAAGCGCCGACACACCAUACAUUUGGGUGCCCUGAAUUCCUUCCAAUUCACGGGGCGAUGCCACAUACCAGCGUGCAUGUCCCGUCCUUCCACAAGACCGAACGAGAAACUCGCCGCACUGUCAUGGCACGAGGGCGGGUCCACUCCCCCACCCUCGCCUUCCAUAGCUAAGCCGAUCCUUCCAGAGCACUGCCUACACUCCUCCAUUGCCGCGCCGUGCCUCUCGCUUCGCGACCAGCACAGAUUACCCAGCGCUCCACUGCUCUCUUGACGUCCUCGUGCUCGAACUCACAGUUCGGGGUGUCCACCGUACAGGCUCGGUUUCCUAGGAGCGCUCGAUUGCAGCCGGUGGCUGGUCGGGGCGACCUUGGCUGUGCAGGACAAAGUGUCGCUGUCCAGGCUCCACUCUGCCGGAAAGUUACGCAUCUGGAGCUCCUCUUUCCGCGUCUAGGGCCGUCUGCUCGUUGUGGCCUAUUGGCUGCCUCGCCUGCUGGGGCGCCGCCUUGGCGGCCUCUGCCCUGCCGGCCUUCCCGCCACCAAGUGCGCCGCCAAACAUGCCUCUAGGACCCCACGGCCUGCUCUUCACCGCCCACCCCGGGCGCUUCCCAGGAUGCGUGCCCCAACCUUCGCCUCUCUGCAAGCCAGGUCUCGUGUCUGUUAACCUGUUGGUGCGCCCCCUUAGGCAUCAGGGUUUACCAUCCUCCGGCCUAGGUGCUCGUUUCGUGUAGCAAACGGGGGUGGGUGUCCGCCGAGAUUCUGUCCUGCUUGCCUCGCCAGGUGUCUCAUCAUAAGAUUCAGCUAUGUGCCCUCUCUGCUGCCUUGUCCGGGGGCGCGUGCCUAGCUUCGCUCGCUCCGCGUCCAUACAAGGGUAAGUCUUCCCGUCCUGGUCCUGGGUGAUGCUAGCUCGAGCCCGUCGGGCCUUGUGUGCCGUGUCGCUCGCUAGGAGGAUCCGCCUCCCAAUCGCUAGGAGGAUCAGCCUCCCAAUCGCUAGGAGGAUCAGCCUCCCAAUCGCUAGGAGGAUCAGCCUCCCAAUNN
This 3598-nucleotide long non-coding RNA is filed under the name Volvox carteri. RNAcentral describes it as "long non-coding RNA (VCAR_LNC000877)". The record is from RNAcentral. Lineage: Eukaryota; Viridiplantae; Chlorophyta; Chlorophyceae; Chlamydomonadales; Volvocaceae.